GGGGAUUCUCGCUAACAGUGGGUCAAGUUCUUCUCUCAAGUUCUUGAUUUACGGCCGGACCGGCUGGAUUGGCGGUUUGCUUGGCCAGCUCUGCCAACAACAGGGUAUCGAUUUCACUUAUGGCUCUGGCCGUCUCGAGAACCGCGCCUCCCUCGAGGCUGAUAUCGCCGCCAUCAAGCCCACCCAUGUCUUCAACGCCGCUGGAGUCACCGGCCGCCCGAACGUCGAC
Molecule: unclassified non-coding RNA, 229 nt
Filed under: Hevea brasiliensis (rubber tree)
Lineage: Eukaryota; Viridiplantae; Streptophyta; Magnoliopsida; Malpighiales; Euphorbiaceae
Source: RNAcentral